UACGAAGGGUGCAAGCGUUACUCGGAAUUACUGGGCGUAAAGGGUGCGUAGGUGGUUUGUUAAGUCUGCUGUGAAAUCCCCGGGCUCAACCUGGGAAUGGCAGUGGAUACUGGCAAGCUAGAGUGCGGUAGAGGGUAGUGGAAAUUCCCGGUGUAGCAGUGAAAUGCGUAGAGAUCGGGAGGAACACCAGUGGCGAAGGCGGCUACCUGGACCAGCACUGACACUGAAGCACGAAAGCGUGGGGAGCAAACAGG
Molecule: ribosomal RNA, 254 nt
Filed under: uncultured bacterium
Lineage: Bacteria
Description: partial 16S ribosomal RNA
Rfam family: Bacterial small subunit ribosomal RNA
Source: RNAcentral